RNAcentral lists this ribosomal RNA (494 nucleotides) under uncultured bacterium. RNAcentral's name for it is "partial 16S ribosomal RNA". It matches the Rfam family "Bacterial small subunit ribosomal RNA", at positions 28 to 507 of the family's 1533-position model. The record is from RNAcentral.
GACGAACGCUGGCGGCGUGCUUAACACAUGCCAGUCGAACGGAAAGGCCUGCUUUCCCUUGUGGAUUGCGGGUACUCGAGUGGCGAACGGGUGAGUAACACGUGAGUGAUCUGCCCCCAACUUGGGUAUAAGCCUGGGAAACUGGGUCUAAUUCCCGAUAGGACUGCAGGGUGGUGCCUGUGGUGGAAAACGAUUUUCUAGUGGUUGGGGAUGAGCUCGCGGCCUAUCAGCUUGUUGGUGGGGUAAUGGCCUACCAAGGCGGCGACGGGUAGCCGGCCUGAGAGGGUGGACGGCCACAAUGGGACUGAGAUACGGCCCAGACUCCUACGGGAGGCAGCAGUGGGGAAUAUUGCACAAUGGGCGGAAGCCUGAUGCAGCGACGCCGCGUGGGGGAUGACGGCCUUCGGGUGGUAAACUCCUUUCGACCGCGAGGAAGCCACCUGGUUGGAAGGGUGGUGACGGUAGUGGUAGAAGAAGCACCGGCUAACUACGUG